RNAcentral lists this ribosomal RNA (1086 nucleotides) under Enterococcus faecium. Its description in RNAcentral is "bacterial SSU rRNA". It matches the Rfam family "Bacterial small subunit ribosomal RNA", at positions 202 to 1277 of the family's 1533-position model. The record is from RNAcentral. Lineage: Bacteria; Bacillati; Bacillota; Bacilli; Lactobacillales; Enterococcaceae.
AAAGGCGCUUUCGGGUGUCGCUGAUGGAUGGACCCGCGGUGCAUUAGCUAGUUGGUGAGGUAACGGCUCACCAAGGCCACGAUGCAUAGCCGACCUGAGAGGGUGAUCGGCCACAUUGGGACUGAGACACGGCCCAAACUCCUACGGGAGGCAGCAGUAGGGAAUCUUCGGCAAUGGACGAAAGUCUGACCGAGCAACGCCGCGUGAGUGAAGAAGGUUUUCGGAUCGUAAAACUCUGUUGUUAGAGAAGAACAAGGAUGAGAGUAACUGUUCAUCCCUUGACGGUAUCUAACCAGAAAGCCACGGCUAACUACGUGCCAGCAGCCGCGGUAAUACGUAGGUGGCAAGCGUUGUCCGGAUUUAUUGGGCGUAAAGCGAGCGCAGGCGGUUUCUUAAGUCUGAUGUGAAAGCCCCCGGCUCAACCGGGGAGGGUCAUUGGAAACUGGGAGACUUGAGUGCAGAAGAGGAGAGUGGAAUUCCAUGUGUAGCGGUGAAAUGCGUAGAUAUAUGGAGGAACACCAGUGGCGAAGGCGGCUCUCUGGUCUGUAACUGACGCUGAGGCUCGAAAGCGUGGGGAGCAAACAGGAUUAGAUACCCUGGUAGUCCACGCCGUAAACGAUGAGUGCUAAGUGUUGGAGGGUUUCCGCCCUUCAGUGCUGCAGCUAACGCAUUAAGCACUCCGCCUGGGGAGUACGACCGCAAGGUUGAAACUCAAAGGAAUUGACGGGGGCCCGCACAAGCGGUGGAGCAUGUGGUUUAAUUCGAAGCAACGCGAAGAACCUUACCAGGUCUUGACAUCCUUUGACCACUCUAGAGAUAGAGCUUCCCCUUCGGGGGCAAAGUGACAGGUGGUGCAUGGUUGUCGUCAGCUCGUGUCGUGAGAUGUUGGGUUAAGUCCCGCAACGAGCGCAACCCUUAUUGUUAGUUGCCAUCAUUCAGUUGGGCACUCUAGCAAGACUGCCGGUGACAAACCGGAGGAAGGUGGGGAUGACGUCAAAUCAUCAUGCCCCUUAUGACCUGGGCUACACACGUGCUACAAUGGGAAGUACAACGAGUUGCGAAGUCGCGAGGCUAAGCUAAUCUCUU